GAGCGCCGCCGCCGCAGUCACGGCCGGCGCCGCCACAGCCGUCGCUCCCCGCCCUUCCCGCGCGGUCCGCCAUCCGCCGCCCACCUACGCACCCCUGCUACUACUAACGCUAGCAUGCCAAUGCGUGAGAGGGAGAGGAUUAGCCUGAAGGGGCAUCUCCGCUUCAUGUCGAAAGGCCCAGCAACGGCGGCAGAGCCUAGCUCUGCUUCAUAUGGCUCACGUAUCUCUUGUGUAUUCUCUACUUUUACUUGCUGCAAGCCUUCAACUCCAUGAUUUACAAAAUAGAGAUUCCUAAAUCUUCUAAACUCUACAGUCUUAGCUUGCAACUGUAUUCAUUAGAUCUAGAUUUAAUUUAGUACUCUUACUAUUUGAAUCUUGCUAGAUGUUCCUUUCAUUCUUCCACUGUUUCUACCCUUCUGGCCUGCAGCGUUAUGUUACUAUUAUUUGUUCCUCUUUUACAAUCUAUAGCUUUGCAGAAUAAAAUUUCUAUUUCUUUGUAGUGCCUUUUUUCCAAUACUGAGACUUACAGUCCCCUUACUACUGGAUUUAAUCUUGAUCUCACAAACUGAUGCAUUCAAAUUUUUGAUUCCCAUAGAUUCUAUGCAGCCUGUCAGCUUUCAUUUGUAUUGAUCCUUCUUCACUACACAUGGCAGCCCCUAGAUACUUACCCAUCGCACACAUCGGGGCAACAGAACUAAUUACAAAGGAUAGGCAGAGCUUCAGAAUGCCCUUGUGACCACACCAGUACCUCCUCCUGCGUCUAAACCACUGAUAAAAGAUAUCUAUAUUGCUAUCCAAAAAUACAUGUGGUUCACAACUCCAGCCAAAAAACAUUUCAUGCUUCCCACCAGAUUUCAUCCUUGAAUUCGCAAUGCCGAACCAACGAGACAUGGUUCUUUCUUACAGAACCAUGGAACUUCAAACUUAACCUCUCACCUUGGACAAAUCAAUAUCGAUCCCAGAUAAUUCCAUGGAAUACCCCUGUGACAAUUAACAUGGAAGGUAUUCCCCCCACAUGCCUUCAGUAAUGAAUCUUCAGGGCCUCUGCUAUUACCUUAUUGUGACAUACAAGCUUCUGCAUUUGAUCACAGCACUGGCAUAUGCACUGCAAUUACCUUUGCACAUAGCACAGACUUCAUUCCUACUGCCCAACAGCUAGGCAUAUCAUAUAACCAUCAGCACAGCACAACUACACAUGCAUUUCCAGUAGCAUUGCAAACCAGCGCCUACUAUCAAUCCGAGCACAGCAAUGAUGCAAAGUAGGCUCCAGACCCUUCCAUAUGCACUGAUGUACAUGAUUCUUCAACAAAUUACGACCCAAAGAUCUAUGAGGACCCAGACAUGGUUAGAGAAGCUUUCAAGCGUAUCGUUGAAGUUGAAAAAGAGGAUGAAGCUUCAAAUCCCGCUCAGUACAACAACAGCGGAUACUACAGCAACAGCUCGGAUGACAUCAACCCUAACGACGACUACUAUACCAUAGAUUCAGACCGUGAACCAGCAGAAUGAAAGCAUAAAUACUAGGAAGUAACCGUAUCUGCCAGUAGGCGAACGACGUCUCCAAGCACAUCAAAUAAAGUAGAAAGAACCUCUCUGUUCCAUUAUGAGUAAAUAUAUUAUCCGUCAGCUCUCUUAACUAAAUUCAUUUAAUGCAAAUUAAAAAAUAUUGCCAAACAAAAUCGAUCAAACACUUUACGCGUGCGGUGGUGUGUGCAAGGAGCAAUAUUUAGCAGCUUCAACUGUGCAAGCUUUUCUCUUAUUUUUUUUCCAAAACACUGUGCAAGCUUUUACCUCCCUCAUCCUUUUUCUACACCCCAAGUAUAAUAUAUGUACAUCUCUAUGUAUAUUAAUAUGUAUGCACUAUCUUUACUUAUAUAUACUAUACUCUUUAAAUAAAUUGGCUCUACCUAAA
Panicum virgatum (switchgrass) is the source of this 1909-nucleotide long non-coding RNA. RefSeq lists it as uncharacterized. NCBI's taxonomy places the organism in Eukaryota, Viridiplantae, Streptophyta, Magnoliopsida, Poales, Poaceae. The record is from RefSeq and is a predicted model, not a curated record. The transcript has 6 exons.